UGGGGAAUUUUGGACAAUGGGGGCAACCCUGAUCCAGCAAUGCCGCGUGUGUGAAGAAGGCCUUCGGGUUGUAAAGCACUUUUGUCCGGGAAGAAAUCGCACCUGAUAAUACCGGGUGUGGAUGACGGUACCGGAAGAAUAAGGACCGGCUAACUACGUGCCAGCAGCCGCGGUAAUCCGUAGGGUCCAAGCGUUAAUCGGAAUUACUGGGCGUAAAGCGUGCGCAGGCGGUUGUGCAAGACCGAUGUGAAAUCCCCGGGCUUAACCUGUGAAUUGCAUUGGUAACUGCACGGCUAGAGUGUGGCAGAGGAGGGUAGAAUUCCACGAGGAGCCGUGAAAUGCGUAGAGAUGUGGAGGAAUACCGAUGGCGAAGGCAGCGCGCUGGGAUAACACUGACGCCCAUGCCCGAAAGCGUGGGGAGCAAACAGG
This 429-nucleotide ribosomal RNA is filed under the name Bacillota bacterium. Its description in RNAcentral is "Firmicutes bacterium partial 16S ribosomal RNA". It matches the Rfam family "Bacterial small subunit ribosomal RNA", at positions 355 to 776 of the family's 1533-position model. The record is from RNAcentral. Lineage: Bacteria; Bacillati; Bacillota.